AUUGAACGCUGGCGGCAGGCUUAACACAUGCAAGUCGAGCGGGGGAAGGUAGCUUGCUACCGGACCUAGCGGCGGACGGGUGAGUAAUGCUUAGGAAUCUGCCUAUUGGUGGGGGACAACAUCUCGAAAGGGAUGCUAAUACCGCAUACGUCCUACGGGAGAAAGCAGGGGAUCUUCGGACCUUGCGCUAAUAGAUGAGCCUAAGUCGGAUUAGCUAGUUGGUGGGGUAAAGGCCUACCAAGGCGACGAUCUGUAGCGGGUCUGAGAGGAUGAUCCGCCACACUGGGACUGAGACACGGCCCAGACUCCUACGGGAGGCAGCAGUGGGGAAUAUUGGACAAUGGGGGGAACCCUGAUCCAGCCAUGCCGCGUGUGUGAAGAAGGCCUUAUGGUUGUAAAGCACUUUAAGCGAGGAGGAGGCUACUUUAGUUAAUACCUAGAGAUAGUGGACGUUACUCGCAGAAUAAGCACCGGCUAACUCUGUG
Molecule: ribosomal RNA, 485 nt
Filed under: uncultured bacterium
Lineage: Bacteria
Description: partial 16S ribosomal RNA
Rfam family: Bacterial small subunit ribosomal RNA
Source: RNAcentral